Molecule: ribosomal RNA, 481 nt
Filed under: uncultured bacterium
Lineage: Bacteria
Description: partial 16S ribosomal RNA
Rfam family: Bacterial small subunit ribosomal RNA
Source: RNAcentral
AUUGAACGCUGGCGGCAUGCCUUACACAUGCAAGUCGAACGGUAACGGGCCUUCGGGUGCCGACGAGUGGCGAACGGGUGCGUAAUACAUCGGAACGUGCCCGAUCGUGGGGGAUAACGAGGCGAAAGCUUUGCUAAUACCGCAUACGAUCUACGGAUGAAAGCAGGGGACCGCAAGGCCUUGCGCGGACGGAGCGGCCGAUGGCAGAUUAGGUAGUUGGUGGGAUAAAAGCUUACCAAGCCGACGAUCUGUAGCUGGUCUGAGAGGAUGAUCAGCCACACUGGGACUGAGACACGGCCCAGACUCCUACGGGAGGCAGCAGUGGGGAAUUUGGACAAUGGGCGCAAGCCUGAUCCAGCCAUGCCGCGUGCAGGAUGAAGGCCUUCGGGUUGUAAACUGCUUUUGUACGGAACGAAAAGCCUUCUUUUAAUACAGGAGGGUCAUGACGGUACCGUAAGAAUAAGCACCGGCUAACUACAUG